Molecule: unclassified non-coding RNA, 5726 nt
Filed under: Cotesia glomerata
Lineage: Eukaryota; Metazoa; Arthropoda; Insecta; Hymenoptera; Braconidae
Description: uncharacterized LOC123260797, transcript variant X3
Source: RNAcentral
CAAGCCCGGGUCGAGCAAUGAGACGCCGUCAGAGCGGCGUCGCGACGCGAGCGUUCGCCUCCGUCGGCGGCACACUAGGUAGACAAUACUAGCUCUUACUCAUUGAAAGACAGACAAGUCCGAGCGUGUGAUCAAUUCGGUCACUGGCCGCGAGCCAAACAGGAUCAACCGAUUGACUAGUGACUUUAACGAUUGGCCAGGUCUCGUGUUUUAUUUGUCGCGAUGAUUAAAAAAAAUUGAUAAUAUCGACAGCAAUUGAAAAAAAAAAAUUUUUUUUUUAAUUUUACGACCAAAUUUUAUCCCGCCGAAGGGAAGAAAAUUUCGCGCCAUUUCACACGUGCAAAGCCAAGCCAGAAGACUUUUAUAAUAAUUAAGUCUAUUUACCGGUAAAAUAUAAUUCAUCCUAUCAGAGGUUGGAUAACAUUCAUCAUUGAGAGUUACAGGUGCGCGUGACAGCUCAGAGGGGAUUGAAAAAAGAUAUCGGGAAGAAAUAGGGAAACUUGGAGUUUAAUCUCGUGAUGCGGUGAUGGCUCUGUUGUACAGAUUCGCGCAGCUACCAGAUCGCGGUGGCACGCGGGUCUUCUCUUUUGUAGUAACACGAAGCGUUGUACGAGAUCCCGAGAGAGAUGUCACCAGCAAGGAGCUUGUUUGCGGAUUUCAAAAAUGGGCUGUAGCGUUUUCAAGAGGGGACAAGGUAUUAGGAGUAUACCUAGUAUGGCGAGGAGCAGCUCCAGGUCUGCGAGUCUACGUGGACUUUACAUUCACCCUUCUAAACCGCGAGCAUUUUUCGGUAAACGAAGGAUUCUCUGGAAAGCGAGUAAAGUUUACCUACGAUGCACCAGCUCAAGGGAAUCGCAAUUACAUACCCGUAUCGGAUUUAUACAGCAGAAACUUUGCGGACACCAACGGGGAGUUUCAAUUGGAGCUCUCGAUGGCAAACGUCAGAACGGUCUUUUCAGCAGAGGUUCGACUACCCACAGGAAUGUUUACAACCGGGCAAGCAAAGCCCAACAAACUGGAGACAACUUACUUCACAUUCGGCGGAUUCGACUGGAAUCUGGCGGUUUAUCCCCAAGGCAACAAAGAAGACGAGCCGCGCUCAGAGGGUAAGUUGAGCGUCUACCUAAUCCGUCUGACGGGUUUCGACCACCCUUGUCGAGUGAGAUACAGCAUGGUACUGGGCGAAGGAGAGCGAAGAAUCGAGUCAGGUCAAAUCGACGACCUGUCAGACGCAGAGGGCCGAGGUUACGGUUGGCACACCCGUGUCCGUUGGUCAGACAUCGCUCACAAAGGUAUGUUGCGUGUGUCUUUGGAGAUGAUUGAAGCACGGACAUUUUCUGAGGUCGCGGUCCAGGCUCUAGGGCCAACAAUGCUUCCAGCAGCGCCUUGCUACGACCGCGACAAGCAGGCCUGGGCAGUGCGCGCAGACUUGCACUCUGACACUGUCAGGUUCCAUUUAGUCUACAAAGACAUCCACAACGUUCCGAGGAACCAUUUGAGGUACAUCUGCUGGUCCGCGUACUUGAUACGAGGGGACGAUCCGGACGCGGAGACGAUUCUCCUGCCAGGAGCCCCAUUUAGCCGGUACUAUUCUCAGGAGGCUGCUGACGAGGGUAUAAUUAUGGAAACGAGGCUCGGCGUUAAUGAAGUUAACGACGACCACUGUCCUUUUCUCACAAACAAGGGUCAGCUGAAGGUCAGGCUCGAGUGGAAUGAAAGCCAUUUGCUCUUCCAGGCCACUUACCACAAGUAUGACGACGUUUGUCGGGUCCAUAACCAGCAGAUGCGACGCGAAAUAGCCGCUCUACAAGCCGAGAACUACAGCUUGGAGCGACAACUAUUUAGCUACCAGAAAAGUCUUGCGUACGCUCAAGCCCAGCAGCAGGAAGAGGUCCAAGGGAGGCCACCACCCACCACCCAGCACUCAACCCAUGCCGGUGCUUUGGAAAGGUCCGCCUCAACUGACACCGAAUACGCCUGACAAGUCGAUCGAUCCCCGGCAAGACGCGGCCACCAGCUGCCUAUCAUCCAGGAAAACGACCAGAGGUUGCACCAGAAUCUUGUUAAUUUGAUGGACCGGCGGCUCAGCAAUGUUCAGAUCCAACAACAGAUGCGUCGGGAGUCCUACUAUCGUGACUCUUCUCCUCUGGUUCAGAUUGACCCCAGGCAAGGACGGGGAGUUGUCAAACAACAGCCAAGGUCUAGAUCCACUGCUGAUCCUGUUAAUAAUAACUGGGAUACUCACGAAACUUUCCAGGAUUUACGGAUUCAUACUGGCGUGGUCAGGCUGCUAAUCAAAAGAGACGUAGACCAACUCUCUGGGAAACUCUUGCCGGACUAGUGUGCUCUCUCGGGGCUCUAGCCUCUAGGGCUGCUAAAAUGGCUGCACGUAGGAGUGACAUGCUUUGAGAAUUGAAUGGACAAGUUGAUUUUCGUCAAUCGGAAUGCAAACAAAACAUAAAUUUAUUUUAUCUUUCUAAUGAAAUUGGAACAAAUCAACCAAAAUAAUAGUAAUUAUUUAUUAUGAUUAUUAUUAUAGUAAAUUAAGGUAGCAACAUUUCGAUUACACUUCUAUCUACUUGUAAGUUUCAGUCAGCAGGAUAAAAGUUAUUUUAUUUUAUUUAUUUUUCUUCUGAUUAUAUAUGAAAUAUAAAUAUAUAAACAAUAAAAGACUUUUUCACUCAUCUAUGUAUAAACGGUCGCUUAAAUAUAUCUAAUGAUCGAUCAACAAUUAUUAUUAGAGUUCAUUACUGUAUUUACUAUAGAUGUGUAAUGAGUACCAAUCGUAAUAAUAUAAUAAUAAUAAUAAUAAUAUAAAUUUUAAUGAUAAUUAUAAUGAUUAAUAAUUAAGAACUUGAAAAAGGAAUUUAUAGCGAAAGUUAUAGAUUGGAUAGAAAUGUUACAUAAUAAAAUGAAACAAUAAAAAGGGUUAAAUUGGAUCAGGGAUUUUGAGAAUAUAAUUUGGUUUUUCGAAAUUUAAAGUAUCAAUUAUUCAGAAUGAAAUAAAAGGUAAUAUCUUCGGUAGCAGUAGAUCAAUCAGACAGACAUUCAUCACAGUAUGACGUUGUAAUUUAGUGAAAGUUUUUUGACAACUGUGAAUUGACGAUUUACGGAAACAACUAUUCGAUAAAUUGUUCUUUCCGUGUUAAAUUCUCUCUGUACACAACAAAUUUAUCCAAUCGAAUCGGUGAUCUAUUUUUUAUCACCAAUUAACAAUUCACUCUUCCAUUACAUACGUGACGGAAAUUAACCGGAAAUUUCAUCGCAUCCUUUUUUUUUUAUUUCUUUCUUGUAAUCCAUUUACGGGGGAAUUUAAAUUCAAUAAAAAAGUUUCAUUAGUUGACGGUAAAUUUAUUUAAUACGAGUACUUUGAGCACCAAUUAUAAUAUAUAAAUAUAUAUUUAAAUGAAACAUUUAUUUAUCAAUCACUAAAAUAUUAAGCAGCGAGUAAUUUGAAAGAACUAAAAUGUUAUAUGAUCGCAAACAAGCAACGUCACAAGUGAAAAAUAUCCAAAAACUUUGUCGAGACGCAUAGCGUUUUAGUUAAUAGCAGAGAGUCUGUAUACUUUGUACAUAUCUACUAAUAAAUAAUCUAGCGCGAUAUCGUGUCUUUGUGAUCACGUAGACUCGCGCAUAUGUGACGCCAAGAGCUUGAAAUUAAUUAUUAAUCCAAUUGAUACGUUCCAACCUCAAGGAUCUACCGUUUGUUAUCGGCAAACACUUGGCGCAAGCUCUUCUACGUGAACACGAAAAAUCGUUAUGCGUUAACAACAAAAAUACAAAUCUGUACCUACAAUUAUCAAUUAAUAAUUAUAUAUUAAUAUACAUAUACAUAUUAUAGACUACAAUAUACUAUAUUAUAUUAAAUUAUAAUUGAUGAAUAUAUAUAUCAAGUCAUAGUGAAUAUUAAUUAAAUUUUAAAUAAAAGUAACAUCAAGCGUGUAUGCACAAUUUGCGCACUUCUUGCUUUAAACAAUUUGAAUGUUGUUUACAUGUUGUAAACUAAUCUCUCAUAUGUCGAUAUUUACAAAGCUUAUAUCCACACUGACUUUACAAUAAACGUACAAAAAAUAAUUUGAACAAACAAUAAAGCUAACAAGUAUCGUAAAUUUUUUUAUCUCUCAUUGGUAUUAAUUAAAACUAAAAAUCUUUUUUACGAUAUUACAUCAUUAAUGCAAUAGCAAACAAAACUUGUAGUUGGUAAUUGAUAGUUAAUAAUUAAUUAAUGCACGAAAAUUAAUUACAUUUUUACUAUUUUUACAAUAACAUGCAUUUUAAUAUUAUUGAACCAGAAGAUAAUGUGUAUUUUUUUUUUUAAUUUAUUUUAUUUGCUCAGUAUUACUUGAAAUUAUUCGCAGUCACGAUUCUACUAUAUCUAAAAAAGAAUAAAAAAAAAUAAAAAAUUGAGUCGGUCAACAAUUUCUUUGAAUUAAGACAAUCGCACACAUUAUUUUAUUUUCUCCCUUUCUAAUAAUGCAAAGAGCACUGUGUCUAUUUUAAUGACGAGAAUGGCACAUAAUAAUAAUUAUAAUAAUAGUCAUAAAAUAAUAUAUAUAUGAGCCCGGGUCUUCAUAUAUAUCUUGUAGCAGUACAAAGCUUCGAUACAAUAUAAAAAAAAUUUAUAAUCCAAUCACUUUGAAUACUCUUGUAUAAUUAUUAUAAUGGUAUAUAAUAUAUGUGUAUAAUAUUGUCGUUAGGAAAUAACUGAGCCAAUGCGCUUAGCUACUAAUUAUAUACAUAUAUACACAAUAUAAAAUAUAUACACAUGUAUAUAUAGAUAUAUGUAUCUGUAUGCAUAAAACAAAUUUAUUCUAUGACGAGGACUUGUGCUCAUUACCCAGUGAGCUUUCCAAGUUUCCAGCCUUCACUUCAAUAUGAAAACUGAUUAAGUAUGAAGGAUACUAUAUAACGAUAAUCGUAUAUAUAUAAAACACUCUCUCACUCUCUUCCUCUCUUACGUAAUUUGUUUUUGAUUAUUAUCAUCAUUAAUACUUUGAAGUUCAUUAUCUAUUGUGACUUUUUAUUUAUUUUCUCUUCACUAAAGAGACAAAUUUAAAUAACUUAGUAUUUACUACGGUAAAUACAUACUUAAUAACAAUGCAUUAUUACUUUAACUUCCAACUUCUAAACUUUAUUAUUAUUAUUAUCAUUAUUUUUUUUAAUUUUUUUGAAUUUACAAAAAAAUUCAAAAAAUUUCUAAACUGCGGAUGACAGUUCUAAACUUUCCCAGGGUUUUUACGACAUUUAUUAAAAUUCUUCGAACUGUCCAAACAUUUUCUAAAUUUUCAGAAUUGUUUUGGACAGUUUUAAACUUUAUUGAAUAUAGUUACAAACUUUAGCUUGCUAAUUGUAAGCAAAAUAUUAUUACAGUAUUAUAUUAAUUAUAAGUUAUAAGUUAUAAUUUAUAACAUUACAAUAUGUCACUAAAACAAAGACUUAUUUAAUAAUUUAAUAACUUUAUAAUUGACACAGAACUUUUUUUUACAAAAUUCAAAUUGCAAAGAGAAAACGAGUGAGAGAGAAAAGCAUUUUUUUUUUUCAUCGUUAUUUAUUUUUUAGUUUCAAAUUGUAUUCAACUUGAAUUAUCGAUCCAAGAGAAUUGAAUGCUCGCAUUUAUUUAUUCAUGCUUUUUACGUCCGAUUAUCAAUACAUAUUUACUCUUGCUCUGCGUGGCAAAAUGAAUACAUAGAAAUAAAAUAACAAUAAAAAUAAAGGUAAAAUGAAAA